Molecule: ribosomal RNA, 264 nt
Filed under: uncultured bacterium
Lineage: Bacteria
Description: partial 16S ribosomal RNA
Rfam family: Bacterial small subunit ribosomal RNA
Source: RNAcentral
UACAACGAGUCGCAAGCUCGCGAGAGUAAGCUAAUCUCUUAAAGCCGUUCUCAGUUCGGACUGUAGGCUGCAACUCGCCUACACGAAGUCGGAAUCGCUAGUAAUCGCGGAUCAGCAUGCCGCGGUGAAUACGUUCCCGGGCCCUGUACACACCGCCCGUCACACCAUGGGAGUUUGUAACGCCCAAAGUCGGUGGCCUAACCUUUAUGGAGGGAGCCGCCUAAGGCGGGACAGAUGACUGGGGUGAAGUCGUAACAAGGUACC